CGGUUACGGGGGAUUAGGGUUCGAUUCCGGAGAGGGAGCCUGAGAAACGGCUACCACAUCUAAGGAAGGCAGCAGGCGCGCAAAUUACCCAAUUCUAACAGCAUAAGAGAGGUAGUGACAAGAAAUAACAGUACAAGGCAGUUAAAAUGCUUUGUAAUUGGAAUGAUAGAAAUUUAAACACUUUUUAAAGUAUCAAUUGGAGGGCAAGUCUGGUGCCAGCAGCCGCGGUAAUUCCAGCUCCAAUAGCGUAUAUUAAAAUUGUUGCAGUUAAAAAGCUCGUAGUUGAAUUUCUGCUAAAAAUAACCGGUUUGCUUUUAUUAAUAAAAGUGGUAUCUUGGUGUGUUUUUAGCAAUAAUGUCCUUUGAAGUGUUUUUUACUUUAUUGUAAGAAGCAAUAUUCAGGAUUUUUACUUUGAGAAAAUUAGAGUGUUUCAAGCAGGCUAACGUUUUGAAUACUGCAGCAUGGAAUAAUAAAAUAGGAUUUUGGUUCUACAUUAUUGGUUUUAAGAA
RNAcentral lists this ribosomal RNA (509 nucleotides) under Hepatozoon sp. BT-2014. RNAcentral describes it as "bacterial SSU rRNA". It matches the Rfam family "Eukaryotic small subunit ribosomal RNA", at positions 356 to 856 of the family's 1831-position model. The record is from RNAcentral. Lineage: Eukaryota; Apicomplexa; Hepatozoidae.